ACAGAUAGAUAGAAAGAUAGGUAGGUAGGUAGGUAGGAAGAUAGAUAAAUAGGAAGAUAGGUAGGUAAGUAGGUAGGAAGAUUGAUUGACAGACAGACAGAGGAAGAUAGGUAGGUAAGUAGGUAGGAAGACAGAUUGACAGACACAGAGGUAAGUAAGUAGAUAAGAAGAUAGACAGAUUGACAGCCAGACAGAGGAAGAUAAGUAGGUAAGUAGGUAGGAAGAUAGAUUGAUUGAUUGACAGACAGACAGGAAGAUAGGUAGGUAAGUAGGUAGGAAGAUAGAUAGAUUCCUACAGCUGGAAGGGACACCAAUGGCCAUUCAGUCCAACCCUUAGGAGAUAGAUAGCAAGAUAGAUAGAUAGAUAGAUAGAUAGAUAGAUAGAUAGAUAGAUAGAUAGAUAGAUAGGAAGAUAGGUAGGUAGGUAGAAAGAUAGCUAGAUAGACAGACUGAUAAAUAGGAAGAUAGACAAAUAGGUAGGUAAGGAAGAUAGAUAGCAAAGGUAGGGAGAUAGAUUCCUACAGCUGAAAGGGACUCCAAUGGCCAUCCAGUCCAACCCUUAAGAGAUAGGUAGCAAGAUACAGACAAACAUAAAUAGAUAAGUAGGUAGAUAAAGACAGACAGGAAGAUAGAUAGGUAGAUAGGUAGGAAGACAGAUAGCAAGAUGGGAAGAUAGGAAGAUAAAUACAUUCCUACAGUUGGGAGAUACCCCAAGGAUCAUCCAGUCCAGCCCUUAAGAAAUAGAUACAUAGGUAAAUAUAAAGAUAGCAAGAUAGAUAAUCAGAUAGAUAGAUAGAUAGAUUCAUAGAACUGGGCCAAAUCCCACCUCGGCCUACCUUCCCCAGCCAGACCUUCGUACUUGUUGGACUACAACUCCCAUCCUCCCGAGCCGGCUGAAGACUAAACCACGGCUUGAGAAUGAAUAAUAAUAAUAAUUCUUGUAUGCGAAAGGGUCCUGGGAUUGCUUUCAAAGUCAAUGUCAGGGAGGUCACUGUGCGCAAAGGGCGAUGCGCUUCCCAUGCUUAGGCCUUUGGAGGAACUUGGAUUAAAAACAGUAUCGAUCGCAGCCUCGUUUGUGGAGAAAAGGGCCGGACCCAAAUGCGAGAUGUGACAAGGGCUCGGUUGGGAGGGGCAGCAGCCCAUGAAUGUGAUUUGAAAAAAGAUAAUAACGGGGAUUGGUUUUCAAAGAAGAUGAGAUUGGAGCCAAGGUGGCCAAGUGGAGUGAAUGUCGGCAACGCCUCUAAAACUACAACUCCCAGCAGCCCGUCCCCAUUGGGUCCCAGUGCUGCAACCAGCACCGAUUCCAGUGCUCUGCUUUCUGGAACGGAUCCCAAGCCAGCCCUGUUUUGCCUUUGUUAUCUCUCGUCUCAUGGGCGAAUCCUGCUAAAUACCUUAAAUAUUGGGUUUUGUAACGUGGGAUUUAUGAGUCACUUGCCUACCAGUGGGCAGGCUCCCUGGCUGAGCAUUGUCUGUGCAACCGUGCGCUACGUCUCUUCUUCUUUUUUUUUACUCCCAUCGCUGGGCAAGUGUCGCUUGGCAGAAGAAAGACUUUGAACUGCUUGAAAACACACGGAAGAGCUGGAAUGGCUGCCAAGGCUCAAUUCGAGCCUCCUAGAGUCUCUGGCAAACUAGACCUCCCGGUUUGAACUAGUGCAGAUUCAGAAAAAGACUCUUUCCCAAGACGAGGGUCUUCUCUAUAUAUAUGGUUGACCUUCUGUAUUGAUUGGUUUUCUCUCCAUGGAUUCAGCGAAGGCAACCGUAAGGCGGAUGUGACUCUCGAUGACAAGGAGUGGGACAGUCCUGGUGUAGAUACAUCUCAGCUGAAGAUGGAGAUCCAAAUUUGGUCCGUACGCAUGGCUGAUGGGCUUUGGAUGUGGGUGAAGGUGCUACAAGCCCCAUCAUCCAUGGUCCAUCCUCCCCAAGAUGUCAUGUGGGUCACUUUCCCAAGACAAGGGUCUUCUCUAUAUCUAUAGUUGACCUUCUGUAUUGAUUGGUUUUCUCUCCAUGGAUUCAAUGAAGGCAACCGUAAGGCGGAUGUGACUCUCGAUGACAAGGAGUGGGACAGUCCUGGUGUAGACGCACCUCAGCUGAAGAUGGAGAUCCAAAUUUGGUCCGUACGCAUGGCUGAUGGGCUUUGGAUGUGGGUGAAGGUGCUACAAGCCCCAUCAUCCAUGGUCCAUCCUCCCCAAGAUGUCAUGUGGGUCACUUUCCCAAGACAAGGGUCUUCUCUAUAUCUAUAGUUGACCUUCUGUAUUGAUUGGUUUUCUCUCCAUGGAUUCAAUGAAGGCAACCGUAAGGCGGAUGUGACUCUCGAUGACAAGGAGUGGGACAGUCCUGGUGUAGACGCACCUCAGCUGAAGAUGGAGAUCCAAAUUUGGUCCGUACGCAUGGCUGAUGGGCUUUGGAUGUGGGUGAAGGUGUUGCAAGCCCCAUCCAUGGUCCAUCCUCCCCAAGAUGUCAUGUGGGUCACCUUCCCAAGACAAGGGUCUUCUAUAUAUACAGUUGACCUUCUGUAUUGAUUGGUUUUCUCUCCAUGGAUUCAACGAAGGCAGCCGUAAGGCGGAUGUGACUCUCGAUGACAAGGAGUGGGAUGGCCCUGGUGAAGAUGGAGAUCCAAGUUUGGUCCGUACGCAUGGCUGAUGGGUUUUGGAUGUGGGUGAAGGUGCUGCAAGCCCCAUCAUCCAUGGUCCAUCCUCCCCAGGACGUCACAUGGGUCAAGAGGGGACAGGCCUUGCCUUGCAUGCUAUUGCAAAGCGUGACCCUGUCUGCUCUCCUCCGACGGCUCCUGUUUCGCUCCCUCCUUUCCCUUCGCUUCUCCAGGGACCCGGGUGAGAACAUCCCCCCCCCCCCCGUUGCUAUGGAAACCCCAUCAUCAGGCUUAAUCCCAAUUUCGGUCUCUUCUCUCUCCUUUUUUCGGCUUUUGGAUCUCAAUGCAAGACUCAACAGAAUAAACCGCAGCCUUCCAGAUGUGACUGCAUCCCAACUCCCAUCAGUUCUAGUUGAGAGGUUUAAUGAUGAGAAAGAUGGGAGUUGUAGUCCAGCAUCUGGAAGAGGGACAUGGAGGGAGUUUGAGGCCUGUGAUCUACACUCCUAGCCUUGGAAAUACGAAAGGUGUCAACUGGCAACCAUCCAGCCAUGUCCUCCUCCCUCCCUGGCUUCCGCUCCUCUCCAAGGCUUGCUUGCUUGCUUGCUUGCUUGCUUGCUUGCUUGCUUGCUUGCUUGCUUCCUUCCUUCCUUCCUUCCUUCCUUCCUUCCUUCCUUCCUUCCUUCCUUCCUUCCUUCCUUCCUUCUGUUGAGACUGGCAGGCAUCUCUCCACCUCCUCCUGAUCUCCAGAUGGAUCAUGAUCUCCAGCUGUUUGCCUUAAUCACCCAAGGCUCCCUCGCCCAGCGGGUGCCCGUCUUCAUGCCAACUAGUUGCCGGCAUUGAGCCGCUGAACUUGAAAGCCUCGCCUUGCAUCUCAUUUGAAUCGCCUUCCUCUGGACACAUUCCAGCUUGGAGUCAACAUCUCCCUUCAGUUGUGGUGCCCAGAAUGGGACACAGUGUGAUUCCAGGGCAAUGCAAUGCCUCCUCCUGAUACAACCCCGAUGGCUUGACGUUCUCCACAAUGAGCGAAAGAAAAAUGGAGAAAGCCGAGUGACAAGGACAAGCGACAGAGGAACUUCGGCACCGGGGGUGAGCGGCUUUUGAAAUACGGCCGGGGAUUUCGGGCGGGAUAAAUAUAUUCCUGAUGAUUGCUGCUAAAUCAUGGCGAUUGUCCCAUAAAUAAAGGCAGGCGCACCGCACGGUUCGUGUUGUGGAUUUCUUUA
Anolis carolinensis (green anole) is the source of this 3807-nucleotide long non-coding RNA. RefSeq lists it as uncharacterized. The transcript is spliced from 2 exons. The record is from RefSeq and is a predicted model, not a curated record. Lineage: Eukaryota; Metazoa; Chordata; Lepidosauria; Squamata; Anolidae.